Molecule: non-coding RNA, 90 nt
Filed under: unclassified sequences
Source: RNAcentral
UGCACUCAAAAGCUGGCCUUCACGUGGCGAGUGUGUUAAGUAAUAGGUCUAAAAAAAUCUUCCAGUUUUACCUAUGAAAACUAACAGCUA